Pongo pygmaeus (Bornean orangutan) is the source of this 277-nucleotide long non-coding RNA. RefSeq lists it as uncharacterized. NCBI's taxonomy places the organism in Eukaryota, Metazoa, Chordata, Mammalia, Primates, Hominidae. The transcript is spliced from 3 exons. The record is from RefSeq and is a predicted model, not a curated record.
AAAGAAGAGUUAGAGUAACCCAAGUGGACAAGCCUGCUCUUGCCCCCUUGCCAUGUGAUGCCCUCUGCCACGUGAGGAUGCAGCAAGAAGGCCUUCACCAAAUGCCAGCACCAUGUGCUUGGACUUCCCAACCUCCAGAACUGAGUAAGACGGUGGACACCACCAGAUGAGAGAGUUGAUGUCGUGGAGAAAGGAGACGGAGUCUCCCUCUGUCGCCCACGCUGGAGUGCAGUGGUGCAAUCUCGGCUAACUGCAACCUCCGCCUCCCAGGUUCAAG